UGAUGUGAUUGGUAGAUGUGAAAAUUGAGAGGAGAGGACACAAGAGUAAAAGGUCUCUAUAUUUCGCCUCACUUCCUUUCUCCAGUACCUUUUGUGGCAGAGAGGUGGCUGGUGGCAGCGUGCUGGGCCUUUUGGCAUCUUGGUGUGGCUACAGCUAUUGUCCGGUUUAGUGGUGAGUUUCUGGCUGAGUUUUUCUUCCUUUACUUUCCAAACUUUAUCCUCUUAGAAGCCUCUAAUCUCCUUCAGAGACCUAGUGGCAGAGAUCUUGAACUCUCCCUGGCACAGGCCAGGUGGGAGAAAUCCUAUACCCUCUUCUCUCUUUUCUCUCUCUUCUCUCUCCUCUCUCUUUCUCUCUCUCUUCUCUCUCUCCUCUCUCUCUUUCUCUCCUCUCCUCUCUUUUCUCUCUCUCUCCUCUCUCUCUCUCUCCUUCUCUGUCUUUUUCUCUCUCUCUCUCCCAGUCUCUCUUUCUCCCUCCUGUCUCUCUUCCUCUCUCUCUUAUCUCUGUCUCUCUCUUAUCUCUGUCUCUCUCUUUGUGAAAUAGGCUCCAGAUUCCUUCUCCUACCAUAUCCAGUCUGUUCUCUAACCUAG
Molecule: long non-coding RNA, 588 nt
Filed under: Monodelphis domestica (gray short-tailed opossum)
Lineage: Eukaryota; Metazoa; Chordata; Mammalia; Didelphimorphia; Didelphidae
Description: lncRNA (ENSMODG00000044691.1)
Source: RNAcentral